RNAcentral lists this ribosomal RNA (2931 nucleotides) under Escherichia coli. Its description in RNAcentral is "23S ribosomal RNA". It matches the Rfam family "Bacterial large subunit ribosomal RNA". The record is from RNAcentral. Lineage: Bacteria; Pseudomonadati; Pseudomonadota; Gammaproteobacteria; Enterobacterales; Enterobacteriaceae.
GGGUUGUGAGGUUAAGCGACUAAGCGUACACGGUGGAUGCCCUGGCAGUCAGAGGCGAUGAAGGACGUGCUAAUCUGCGAUAAGCGUCGGUGAGGUGAUAUGAACCGUUAUAACCGGCGAUUUCCGAAUGGGGAAACCCAGUGUGAUUCGUCACACUAUCAUUAACUGAAUCCAUAGGUUAAUGAGGCGAACCGGGGGAACUGAAACAUCUAAGUACCCCGAGGAAAAGAAAUCAACCGAGAUUCCCCCAGUAGCGGCGAGCGAACGGGGAGCAGCCCAGAGCCUGAAUCAGUGUGUGUGUUAGUGGAAGCGUCUGGAAAGGCGCGCGAUACAGGGUGACAGCCCCGUACACAAAAAUGCACAUACUGUGAGCUCGAUGAGUAGGGCGGGACACGUGGUAUCCUGUCUGAAUAUGGGGGGACCAUCCUCCAAGGCUAAAUACUCCUGACUGACCGAUAGUGAACCAGUACCGUGAGGGAAAGGCGAAAAGAACCCCGGCGAGGGGAGUGAAAAAGAACCUGAAACCGUGUACGUACAAGCAGUGGGAGCCUCUUAAUGGGGUGACUGCGUACCUUUUGUAUAAUGGGUCAGCGACUUAUAUUCUGUAGCAAGGUUAACCGAAUAGGGGAGCCGAAGGGAAACCGAGUCUUAACUGGGCGUUAAGUUGCAGGGUAUAGACCCGAAACCCGGUGAUCUAGCCAUGGGCAGGUUGAAGGUUGGGUAACACUAACUGGAGGACCGAACCGACUAAUGUUGAAAAAUUAGCGGAUGACUUGUGGCUGGGGGUGAAAGGCCAAUCAAACCGGGAGAUAGCUGGUUCUCCCCGAAAGCUAUUUAGGUAGCGCCUCGUGAAUUCAUCUCCGGGGGUAGAGCACUGUUUCGGCAAGGGGGUCAUCCCGACUUACCAACCCGAUGCAAACUGCGAAUACCGGAGAAUGUUAUCACGGGAGACACACGGCGGGUGCUAACGUCCGUCGUGAAGAGGGAAACAACCCAGACCGCCAGCUAAGGUCCCAAAGUCAUGGUUAAGUGGGAAACGAUGUGGGAAGGCCCAGACAGCCAGGAUGUUGGCUUAGAAGCAGCCAUCAUUUAAAGAAAGCGUAAUAGCUCACUGGUCGAGUCGGCCUGCGCGGAAGAUGUAACGGGGCUAAACCAUGCACCGAAGCUGCGGCAGCGACACUAUGUGUUGUUGGGUAGGGGAGCGUUCUGUAAGCCUGUGAAGGUGUACUGUGAGGUAUGCUGGAGGUAUCAGAAGUGCGAAUGCUGACAUAAGUAACGAUAAAGCGGGUGAAAAGCCCGCUCGCCGGAAGACCAAGGGUUCCUGUCCAACGUUAAUCGGGGCAGGGUGAGUCGACCCCUAAGGCGAGGCCGAAAGGCGUAGUCGAUGGGAAACAGGUUAAUAUUCCUGUACUUGGUGUUACUGCGAAGGGGGGACGGAGAAGGCUAUGUUGGCCGGGCGACGGUUGUCCCGGUUUAAGCGUGUAGGCUGGUUUUCCAGGCAAAUCCGGAAAAUCAAGGCUGAGGCGUGAUGACGAGGCACUACGGUGCUGAAGCAACAAAUGCCCUGCUUCCAGGAAAAGCCUCUAAGCAUCAGGUAACAUCAAAUCGUACCCCAAACCGACACAGGUGGUCAGGUAGAGAAUACCAAGGCGCUUGAGAGAACUCGGGUGAAGGAACUAGGCAAAAUGGUGCCGUAACUUCGGGAGAAGGCACGCUGAUAUGUAGGUGAAGUCCCUCGCGGAUGGAGCUGAAAUCAGUCGAAGAUACCAGCUGGCUGCAACUGUUUAUUAAAAACACAGCACUGUGCAAACACGAAAGUGGACGUAUACGGUGUGACGCCUGCCCGGUGCCGGAAGGUUAAUUGAUGGGGUUAGCGGUAACGCGAAGCUCUUGAUCGAAGCCCCGGUAAACGGCGGCCGUAACUAUAACGGUCCUAAGGUAGCGAAAUUCCUUGUCGGGUAAGUUCCGACCUGCACGAAUGGCGUAAUGAUGGCCAGGCUGUCUCCACCCGAGACUCAGUGAAAUUGAACUCGCUGUGAAGAUGCAGUGUACCCGCGGCAAGACGGAAAGACCCCGUGAACCUUUACUAUAGCUUGACACUGAACAUUGAGCCUUGAUGUGUAGGAUAGGUGGGAGGCUUUGAAGUGUGGACGCCAGUCUGCAUGGAGCCGGCCUUGAAAUACCACCCUUUAAUGUUUGAUGUUCUAACGUUGGCCCCUGAUCGGGGUUGCGGACAGUGUCUGGUGGGUAGUUUGACUGGGGCGGUCUCCUCCUAAAGAGUAACGGAGGAGCACGAAGGUUGGCUAAUCCUGGUCGGACAUCAGGAGGUUAGUGCAAUGGCAUAAGCCAGCUUGACUGCGAGCGUGACGGCGCGAGCAGGUGCGAAAGCAGGUCAUAGUGAUCCGGUGGUUCUGAAUGGAAGGGCCAUCGCUCAACGGAUAAAAGGUACUCCGGGGAUAACAGGCUGAUACCGCCCAAGAGUUCAUAUCGACGGCGGUGUUUGGCACCUCGAUGUCGGCUCAUCACAUCCUGGGGCUGAAGUAGGUCCCAAGGGUAUGGCUGUUCGCCAUUUAAAGUGGUACGCGAGCUGGGUUUAGAACGUCGUGAGACAGUUCGGUCCCUAUCUGCCGUGGGCGCUGGAGAACUGAGGGGGGCUGCUCCUAGUACGAGAGGACCGGAGUGGACGCAUCACUGGUGUUCGGGUUGUCAUGCCAAUGGCACUGCCCGGUAGCUAAAUGCGGAAGAGAUAAGUGCUGAAAGCAUCUAAGCACGAAACUUGCCCCGAGAUGAGUUCUCCCUGACCCUUUAAGGGUCCUGAAGGAACGUUGAAGACGACGACGUUGAUAGGCCGGGUGUGUAAGCGCAGCGAUGCGUUGAGCUAACCGGUACUAAUGAACCGUGAGGCUUAACCUUACAACGCCGAAGGUGUUU